Molecule: unclassified non-coding RNA, 970 nt
Filed under: Hevea brasiliensis (rubber tree)
Lineage: Eukaryota; Viridiplantae; Streptophyta; Magnoliopsida; Malpighiales; Euphorbiaceae
Source: RNAcentral
GGUAUUGAAGGAAUCAUGUUCAACACCUACCGAGGAGUCACUGCAGUAGAACAUGCAAAACCCUUAUCAGGUUAAAAUAAAGGGAGUAAUAAAGCAGGAUCAUACCCUGAAUUAAUGGAUCCACCAUUACCGGUAGGCUCAUUGACAAACGUAGGAUAAAAAUUGUGCACGACAUUAGUAAAACGGAUCCUCCAACCCUGGGAUUUACAAUCCAUAAUUGAUUUAAUUUGUAUGACAAUAUUGAACAAUGCCCUCGAACAGGGAGUGAAAGAAUCUGCUGCUUCACAAUUGGUAUUAGGCUCUGAUUUUCAUAUUCGUCAACUGCUUGUAAAAUCAAGGUAUUUGAACUACACAAUAUUCCUACCCACAUGAACAGGCUAAAGCAUUAUUUCCAUCCCACAUAAACACACAAAUCAUAUUAAUAUAUAGCCUGCAAACCCACAAAAGGGCACAGACAAGCACAAUGAUCCCCGAUUCCCUUAAGCUACAAGACCGAUCAUAGACCGUGCAUUUAUAACUUUUUUUUUUUUUGGUUCUAAUUAAAAAAAUUAAGUGAUCAGGUGAAGCAUAAUAUAGAAGGAAGAUAGAAUGAAAGAAAGAAGGAAAGAAAGAAUUGGACCUGGGCAUCAUUCCAUCAGGUUGAAUUCCAUGUUCAAGGCAGUACAGCUCCCAGCAAGAAUUCCCAAGCUGGAUACCUGCUUGUCCUAUGUGUAUGCUUAUCACCUCCCUCAUUUUCCUCUCUGUGUAGUCAAACAAAUGUGUGUCUAUGAAACCUAAAAUAUAUCAGCUAUAUAGAUCCAAUUUCUCUCUCCCUCUGUGAAAGUUUUUCUUUUUAUCAGGAGAAGAGAAGGAGAAAGAGAGAGAGCGGUUAUUAGAAGACGAUUCCGAUUUUGACCGAUUUUAAUCUGAUUUUAAUCGAAUCAAUUUUAAUUUAGUUUCAGCUCAAAAUCGAACCGUGAUGACCCCUAAC